GUGAUUCACCCACCUCGGCCUCCCAGAAUGCUGGGAUUACAGGCGUGAGCCACCACCGCCAGCCCUGAGCAUAUUUCAAGUACUUAAUAGCCACAUGGUUAGUAUCUACCACACAGUGCAGGUGGAGCAUACUAUUUGGCACAUGGUAAGUGCUCAGUAAAUACUCACUGCCAUUACCCUUAGGCCCAAGGAGCAGCUCCUUCUCUUUUUUCAGAUGCCAAAUCUGAAGCCAGGCCUGUCAUUUGUUCUGUGCAUGGCCUGUGUAAUGGAUGAGUCCAGGCUCCGCAUGUUCAGGGCCUCUUUGGAAUAUGUCUUAGUCCUUUCUGGGUGCUGUAACAAAAGACCACAAACUGGGUGGCUUAUAAACAACAGAGGGCUAGGCAUGGUGCCUCAUACUUGUAAUCCCAGGACUUUGGGAGGCUGAUGUGGGAGGAUCACUUUAUCCCAGGAGUCUGAGACAAGCCUGGGCAACAUGGAGAGACCCCAUCUCUACAAAAAAAUAAAAAUUAAAAAAUAAGCCCGGUGCGGUGGUGCAUGCCUGUGAUCCUGGUUACUCAGGAGGCUGAGGCAGAAGGACUGCUUAAGCCCAGGAGGUCGAGGCUGCAGUGAGCCGUGAUUAUGCCACUGCACUUUAGCCUGGGCAACAGAGUGAAACCUUGUCUCAAAAAUAAAAUAAAAUAACAGAAAUAAAUUUCUCACAAUUCUGGAAGCUGGGAAGUCCAAGAUGAAGGCACUGGCAGAUUUGGGGUCUGAUAGGGUCCACUCCCUUGUUCAUAGAUGGCGCCUUCUCACUGACCUCACAUGGCAGAAGGGGCAAAAGAGCUCUCUUGGGCCUAUUAUAAGGGGACUAGUUCUAUUCAUGAGGGUUCCACUUUCACAACUUCAUUGCCCCUCAAAAGCCUCCACCUCCUAACACCAUCACCGCAAGGGGUCAGGAUUUCAACAUAUGAAUGGCGGGGGGACACAAACAUUCAGACCAUAGCAGGGAACAAUUUUAUUUAUGUUUUGAGAUAGGGUCUCAUUCUGUUGCUCAGGCUGGAGUACAGUGGCACAAUCACAGUUCACGGCAGCCUCAUACUCCUGGGCUCAAGGGAUCCUCCCGCCUCAGCCUCCUGAGUAGCUGGGACUACAGACAUGCACCAUCACCCCUGGCUAAUUUUGUAAAUUUUUUUUGUAGACAGGGGAUAUUACCAUCUUGCCCAGGCUGGUCGCAAACCCCUGCACUCACAUGAUCCUCCUACCUUGGCCCCUCAAAGUGCUGGGAUUACAGACAUGAGCCACCGCACCCAUCCAGGGUAAAAUUUCACAGUCCCUGAAGGGGCCAUUUUCCAGGAACAUCUUCCUGACCUUUCCCACUGGGAUUCUAGGAAGGCUUUCGGGCUCUCCAGGAUUGUCUUGCCAUGCAUGUGUGUGUAAGGAGCAGGGAUAACAAGCCUUUGUGGAGGGUUAUUCUUUGAAACAAUAACCCAGUACAUCUGUGCAGCAGAAAUAACAAGACUAGCAUGGUCACACUAGUGACUGAUAGCUGUUCCUAUUCACAAGCCAAAUGAGGAGAAAAUAGACAUGGGUGUGGUACAUGUUCCUAAAUUUAAUUCUGUGCUAAUUUCUCAUUCCAUUAAUAACCAGGGUUCUCAUCCUCCCCUAUAGUCAUGUUUUUCAACUACUCUUUAUUGAAAUUGUGCUGCCUGUCAAUCACCAAUGUUAGCUAGGUGGAAUUUGUGGAUGAAUAAGGCUCACGCCCUUCCUGCCCUCAGCAAGCACACAGUCCAGUAGAUAAGACAAAUACAUUAGCAAUUAUGACAAAGCAAAUAUGAGCAGUCCCAUACAAGACAGACAGUCAAAAUGCCAGGAGAGUUCAAAUGAAAGAGCCAUGUUUUCCAAUGAGAGGGCUGGGGAAACCUCAAGAGGCAGGUGGGAUCUGGGGUGGAGGGAACACCCUAAGUGGCAAGAUUAGCAUCCACUCCAUCCCAGAUGUGAGGAAGUUUUGCAGAAUUAAGCAUAGGUACAAUGACAAUAUAGGAGAAGGAAAGUUUGGGGCUAGAUUGCAGGUGGAAAUUGCUGGGUCAUAUGGCAAUUCUGUUUUGCUUUGUUUUAUUUUGUUUUGUUUUUGAGACAGAGUCUCACUCUGUCACCCAGGCUGGAGUGCAGUGGCGCAAUCUUGACUCACUGCAACCUCUGCCUCCCGGGUUCAAGUGAUUCUCCCGCUUCAGCCUCCUGAGUGGCUGAGAUUACAGACGCCCACCACAACGCUCAGCUAAUUUUUGUAUUUUUAGUAGAAAUGGGGUUUCACCAUGUCAGCCAGGCUGGUCUCGAACUUCUGACCUCAAGUGAUCCACUAGCCUCCGCCUCCCAAAGUGCUGGGAUUACAGGUGUGAGCCACCGUGCCUGGUAAUUCUAUUUUUAAUUUUUUGAAGACCCACCAUACUACAUCAUUCCAUAUACCCACCAACACUGUACAAGGGUUCCAGUUUCUCCACAUCCUUGCCAAUCUUUGUUAUGGUGUGUGUGGGGUGUGUGUGUGUGUGUGUGUGUGUUUAUAGUAGCCAUCCUUAAAGGGUGUGUGGUGGUAUGUCAUUGUGGUUUUGAUUUUCACUUCCCUAGUGAUUAGUGAUGUUGAGCAUCUAUUCAUGUGCUUCUUGACCAUUUGUUUACCUUCUUUGAAAAAAUGUCCAAGUCCUUUCUUUGCCCUGUCUUAAUUGGGGUGUUGGUUUGGGUUUUUUGUUGUUGUUGAUGCUAUUGUCAUGACAAUCAUUACUUUGGCAAAUUCCAAGGCAGUUUUCUUGUUUGUUUUUGUUUUUUUGUUUUGUUUUGUUUUGAGACAAGGUCUCUCUCUGUCACCCAGGCUGGAGUGCAGUGGCAAAAUAAUGGCUCACUGCAGCCUUGACCUCCGGGGCUCAAAUGAUCCUCUCACCUCACCCUCUGAGGUAGCUGGGACUACAGGGGCAUGCCACCAUGCCUGACUAAUUUUAUUUUACUUUUCAUUUUUAGUAGAGAUAGAGUCUUGAUAUGUUCCCCAGGCUGCUCUGGAAUUCUUGGACUCAAGCAAUCCUCCUGACUUGGCCUCCCAAAGUGCUGGGAUUACAGGCUCCUAUUCCAAAUCGGAUGAAGCACUGAAAACAAAGCACUUUCACAUCCUUCACCCUGAUCUGUAGCAUAUUCUUCAGAACUCUUAUGAUUUCAAGUGACAGAAACCCAAUCUGAACCAGCUGAAACACUCAGAGGCAUUUAGUAUCUCAUGGAACCCAGUGCCCCAGGGACAGGCGGAAACGCUGACUUGAACAUCUCUUUCUGAGUUUCUCAUCUCAGCGCCUCUCUGCAGAUGUUGAAAUCUUCUUUUUUUCUGCUAACUGGCCUCUGCUUCCCAGGUUCACAGCAAGAAACAUGGCCAUUGGGAUGUCCCAAGCUUUGCAUUUUAUAGCCCAGCUUAGGUCAGGUGGCCACCCCUGUGCCAGUCAACUUGACCGAAUGGAUGGAAAACCUCAACUGAUCAAGCUGGAGUUAAGUGCAUGCAGGGAGCACCUAUGGUAACUGCGGAUGGCAGGGAGGGCAGCCACCUAGAAAAAGGUACUGCUGGCCAGGUAAGACCACAGGUAUCCACAACUACCACCAAUCUGCUGUGAACAGUUCCUCUGAAGUUGUGCAAUAAGCAAGCCGUGUGAUGCUGGUCUUGGUAGAAUAUCUUAUUUCUAAACUCCAAACCAUCAGAUUGGCCUCUACCUCCCCAUUUGCCCUCCUCAGAAGAUCUUGACACCCAAGUUCACCCCAUCCUCUGGAGUCCUGUGGUUUGAAAUACUGACCAUUUGUCCCAAUCCUGGAGCCAAGGUCCCAGCAUGCUCUGUGUCCAAGUUCAGAUUACCACAAAAGCUGGUUGUGAAGACCACAAGUUGUUACCUAUUUGUUUUUUAACCAGUUGUAUAUACAACAUUUGGUGCUUUUCACAACACCACACUACCUCUGUCUUACUGUACUGUUUCUCUCCCUAGCAAGCUACCAACAUUUCCUCUCUCCUCCCUAAAACAUGAAAAAAGGAGAGAGAGAGAGAGAGAGAGACGCAGGUAAUGCCUAUACUCUCAUCUCCUAAGGGGUCCUUGAGACAAUGGAUUCCAAAGAGCAGUUUGGAACAUGAAGAAAACCCCAAUGGGGAGGCCCUGCUCCCAAGUCUCACUAAUUCUGGAUUUAAUUCUCCCCUGUGGGCCAGGUGGUGAAUUAGUGGCCCUCCCACCCUACCUUCUGUUUUCUAUGAUCUCGUCUCAUCUAAUAAAGGCUCCAGAUCUGAAAGUCUCUGAGACCAGAACCUUAGUCCAAUUAAACCCUGCUAAAGCAAACAAACUUGGGAAAGACAAAGAGGUGAAGAGGUUAACAGCAGACAAAACCUCCACUGACAAGCUAAAUUAGCCUUGCCCACCUCAGGAGAAGGUGUAAGGUGGACAGCGGAGACUGCUGGUAGUGAUUAACAUUUGCUCGAAAUUCUAAGGAGCUAAUUUUUUUUCCAAGUUAAAUGUUAACCUGUGAAAAGAGGAACAGUAACUAUGCGAAGAGGAAUGUGAAGAAGAAAACAGAAAGACCAGCCUGCUGGGUGGAUGUCUUCCUCCCAAAGUAGUCGAGACCAGGGAUUCUGAGGAAUAGUUUUCCAUUUAUCCUUCAUCAUCUCCAUUCAACAGGGCCGCUGAGCUCCAGAUGAGCAUGGAAAGAUGGAGGAGCUGCCAAACCUGACUUUGGAGGCCCUGGUCAGGAGCCCGUUGGAGGCCUUCCAGUUUUACACCCUUUGUGAAUUUGUCCGUGGGGUGGGUUUGUUCUGAUGCCAUGAGUAGCUUCCACUGGAAAAGGCACCAUCUCCACCCAACAUUUUAGGUAUGCUGGUGCAUUGGGAGGACAUUCUUGGUGCCAAUAAUCGUCUGAAGAUUCUUUGCUAUCCUUUGGUAGAGGCUCUAUUUACCACAAUGAAGAGUAGAAAGAUUAUGAUGUGAGUGUGUUUUGGUGUGUGUGUGUGUGUGUGUGUAUGUGUGUGACUAUUAGUGAAAACUGCUAGUAGUAUGUCAGUGUGGAGAGAAAUUCAGUCCUCCCGCAAGUGGUGAGGCUCAAUAUUAAGGGACAGAACAUCAGUGAGCACCACAUUAAGGCACUAUUCUCGACAUCUGGGAAGAAGCAAAGAAAAAUGUGUCAUGCCUCUUACCUUUUAGGGACUUAUAAUACAGGAAAGAGAAGACUUGUAUAAAUGGCUAAAAAUAUACUGAGGAGUAUAACUAAUAACUAAUGCAGAGUGUGCUGGUAAAAGGUUGUGUGGGUUCAGGAAUGUCAAAAGUUGCAGCUGCUGUGAAAGCCAAUAUGGCGGGUCCUCAAAAAAUUAAAUGUAGAAUUACCAUAUGACUCGGCAACUCCACUUCCGGGUAUGUUCUUAAAACGAUUGAAAGCAGAGACUCAGACAGAUAAUUGCACACCCAUGUUCACAGCAGCAUUAUUCACAAUCGCCAAAAUGUGGAAGCAACCCAAGUGUCCACUGGCCAAUGAAUGAAUGAGUAAAACAUGCUAUGUAUCAACAGUAGAAUAUUAUUCAACCUUAAAAGGAAACAAAUUCUGGUACGUGUUACAACAUAGAUGAACCUUGAGUGGAAGAAGAAAACAGAAAGAGCAGUCCGCUGGGUGGAUGUCUUCUUCCCAAAGUAGUUGGGAUCAGGAAUGCUGAGAAACAAUUCCCCAUUCAUCCUUCAACAUCUCCAUUCAACAGGGCCACUGAGCUCCAGGAUGAGCAUGGAAGGAUGGAGGAGCUGCCAAGCUUGACCUUGGGGACCCAGGUCAGGAGCCUUCUGGAGACCUUCCAGUUUUAUGCCCUUCGUGAAUUUGUUUGUGGGAUGAACUCUAUGAAGUGAACUAAACCAAUCACACACAAAAAAUAAAACUGUAUGAUUCCACUUA
This is a long non-coding RNA of Homo sapiens (human), 5913 nucleotides long. RefSeq lists it as uncharacterized. The transcript has 2 exons. The record is from RefSeq and is a predicted model, not a curated record. Lineage: Eukaryota; Metazoa; Chordata; Mammalia; Primates; Hominidae.